CUGAAGGCUCUUUCUCGAUUCCGUGGAAAGUGGUGCAUGGUCCGUUUUUGGGUUGGUGGAUCGAUCCGUCUGGUUAAUUCCGUUAACGAACGAGACCUCGGCACUCCGAAUAGCGCGGCGGACGUCGCGGCCUCCGGGCGUCUUCCGCACGAGCUUCUUAGAGGGACCGUCCCCCGCCGGGGAAGGAGGUGCGAGGCAACGACAGGUCUGUGAUGCCCUUAGAUGUUCUGGGCCGCACGCGCAUUACACUGACGCGUCCAACGGGUGACUCCCGACCGAAGGGCCGGGGAAUCCGCAAGGCGCGUCGUGAUGGGGAUUGAACGUUGCAAUUGUUGUUCACGAACGAGGAAUUCCUAGUAGGCGCGGGUCAUCAACCCGCGCCGAUUACGUCCCUGCCCUUUGUACACACCGCC
This 413-nucleotide ribosomal RNA is filed under the name uncultured eukaryote. RNAcentral's name for it is "bacterial SSU rRNA". It matches the Rfam family "Eukaryotic small subunit ribosomal RNA", at positions 1248 to 1673 of the family's 1831-position model. The record is from RNAcentral.